Long non-coding RNA from Mesocricetus auratus (golden hamster), 728 nucleotides. RefSeq lists it as uncharacterized. The record is from RefSeq and is a predicted model, not a curated record. The transcript has 2 exons. Lineage: Eukaryota; Metazoa; Chordata; Mammalia; Rodentia; Cricetidae.
GGCUCACCUGUUGUGUGAUUAAGUCAUGAGUUGCUGCUUGUUGUCUUUGGGACCACGCCAAGCAGCAUUUGUUCAAGGAAAGAACAAGGCUCUGUGUGCUGUGUGACUGUAUCAAUAGUCUCGGGCAAACAGAUUCCAGCAGGAGAAAAGAAUGGGAAGUGGGCGCUGGGGACAAUGUGGCAGCUGUGUUGAAAGUUAUCUCAGUCAAGAACGGGUUGGUGGUAAGACACAAAAGCCUCCUUAGCAGGAGUAGAAGUGGGACCUGUUGGUAGUGUCGGCGGACUCUAGGGAAACACUGAAGGAAGAUGAGACUGACAUCAUGGGAACUGGAAGCCUCUCCAGGAGCUCCUCACUCUCUGACCCUGCUCUCUCACCUCAUGGAGCCCUUCGGUGUGAAGUGCACGGAACUAUGAGGGUGUUCGUCCCAUCAGACCACAGCAAAGUGACCCAACUUCUGGUGGCAUCAGAUUCCAUCCACGAAAGCAGAGCCAAUUAAGUCAGAGCCCUUUAACCGCCCUUCCUAAUUCAGGACGCUGUUCUCAUGACAAAGGGUUGGCAAACUGCAGUUCAGAGUGGGCCAGUCCUGUCAUAAACUGAGAGUGACUUUAACGUCUCUCAAUGGUUAAAAAUAAAAAGAAAUAACCAAGAACGAAGUCUCAUUUGGAAUUCAUGAAAAUGAUCUGACUUCAAUUUUCAGUGUCCACAAAUAAAGUUUUAUUGGAACACCA